RNAcentral lists this ribosomal RNA (506 nucleotides) under uncultured bacterium. Its description in RNAcentral is "partial 16S ribosomal RNA". It matches the Rfam family "Bacterial small subunit ribosomal RNA", at positions 29 to 523 of the family's 1533-position model. The record is from RNAcentral.
AGUGAACGCUGGCGGUAGGCCUAACACAUGCAAGUCGAACGGCAGCACAGGAGAGCUUGCUCCCUGGGUGGCGAGUGGCGGACGGGUGAGGAAUACAUCGGAAUCUACUCUGUCGUGGGGGAUAACGUAGGGAAACUUACGCUAAUACCGCAUACGACCUACGGGUGAAAGCAGGGGACCUUCGGGCCUUGCGCGAUUGAAUGAGCCGGUGUCGGAUUAGCUAGUUGGCGGGGUAAAGGCCCACCAAGGCGACGAUCCGUAGCUGGUCUGAGAGGAUGAUCAGCCACACUGGAACGGAGACACGGUCCAGACUCCUACGGGAGGCAGCAGUGGGGAAUAUUGGACAAUGGGCGCAAGCCUGAUCCAGCCAUACCGCGUGGGUGAAGAAGGCCUUCGGGUUGUAAAGCCCUUUUGUUGGGAAAGAAAUCCAGCUGGCUAAUACCCGGUUGGGAUGACGGUACCCAAAGAAUAAGCACCGGCUAACUUCGUGCCAGCCGCCGCGGUAA